GUUAGGGUGGCAGAGCCGGGUAUAUGUAAAAGGCCUAAAACCUUUCAAACAGAAGUUCAAAUCUUCUUCCUAACC
RNAcentral lists this transfer RNA (75 nucleotides) under Anolis punctatus (spotted anole). RNAcentral describes it as "tRNA-Leu". It matches the Rfam family "tRNA". From Rfam's summary of the family: Transfer RNA (tRNA) molecules are approximately 80 nucleotides in length. Their secondary structure includes four short double-helical elements and three loops (D, anti-codon, and T loops). Lineage: Eukaryota; Metazoa; Chordata; Lepidosauria; Squamata; Anolidae. The record is from RNAcentral.